This 252-nucleotide unclassified non-coding RNA is filed under the name uncultured fungus. RNAcentral describes it as "partial contains 5.8S ribosomal RNA, internal transcribed spacer 2, and large subunit ribosomal RNA". Lineage: Eukaryota; Fungi. The record is from RNAcentral.
AACGCACAUUGCGCCCUUUGGUAUUCCGAGGGGCAUGCCUGUUCGAGCGUCAUUUCAACCCUCAAGCUCUGCUUGGUAUUGGGCUUCGCCGUCGUGCGGCGGGCCUUAAAAUCAGUGGCGGUGCCGUCUCGGCUCCAAGCGCAGUAGCAUCAUCUCGCUCUGGAGACCUUGGUGGUUGCUGGCCAGCUAAACCCCCCCCUUUUUUUUCUCAUGGUUGACCUCGGAUCAGGUAGGGAUACCCGCUGAACUUAA